Molecule: non-coding RNA, 1650 nt
Organism: Chiloscyllium plagiosum (whitespotted bambooshark)
Lineage: Eukaryota; Metazoa; Chordata; Chondrichthyes; Orectolobiformes; Hemiscylliidae
Source: RefSeq, a predicted model, not a curated record
UUUUCUUGCACUGACACCUUCAUUUGCUACAACCGCAGUCCAAUGUACCUCAACUCUUUGAGCUUCUGCAUAUAAAUAGAACAUCAUACAGCAGCAGGGCAUGUGAAAAAGGACUGAUGGUGUUUAUAGUUUCCCAUUUACCCAACAGAAAUUGCUUUUGAGAGUCUGUUUAUUCAAUCACGGCUUCAAGAGUUAACAUUUCGGGUACAGUGACCCUUCUUCGGAAACAUUCCUUGCGUUUUUUGGAGGAUUAUCAAUCCUGGCUGGAUCUGGGAGUGGCAAAUGCAGUGCACAGCAAAAACAUCUUUAAUUGUGGCUACUUGUUCGAUCACCUGCUGCCGCUUCCUGUUAAAUCAAACACAGUCAAAAAUCAGGACAAUGCCAACAGGCCACAGGUUUUGAGGGACCGGGAGACACAGGCAAAGGAAUGAUUGAAUGGACAACCAGUUAAAAGUUGGACAUGACGGCUCUCACCAAUUCAAAGCAUUCCAGAAUUGCUAGCUUUCUGCUAACAGCACAGGAGCAAGGGAACAGGAUCCUUUCUGCUGACUGUGACUCCAUACAGCUGCACUAUUUUCUGCUUGGUUUGCAUCAUUGCUGCAGACGACUUACGAAAGAAAAGAUGACUCAGCUAGAUUUCAAAACAUUGGCUAAUUUCUGCACACAGAGACCUCCAUGCACCAAUGUCAUAAUGAUCAAAUAAUCCAUUUUUUGAGAUAAUCCGAUGUUGAUUGAGAGAUAAGUAUUGACAAAGAUGCUGUAAUUCCCCUGUAGUUCUCCUGUGAAAUAGUGCCUUUAGUUCUUUCACAUCUAUUUGGCAGAGGGGGCCUUGGUUUAACAUUGGGUCUGAGAGAUGGCACCAUUAACAAUGCCGAGAUCCCUCUGUUCUGCAGUGAGAGGUCGGCCUAGAUUUUUGCGUUAUAUUCUGCUGUGUGAGAAAUAAUCAGUCAGUAGAAGGCAAAUAAUAAAAUGCAAUUUACCAUAUAGGACAUCUCUCCUUGGGUUAAACUGCAUUCCACUUCAGACGAAAGCAGCAAAACCAAACAUAUGACACCAUUGCUGUUUGGUAGAAAACCAUUGUACAAUUCAUAGUGGAAAUGGACAACAAUGGGGUCAAGUUUUAUAUUUCCAUCACUAUUUACUUUCAUUGAGAAACUUAGAUGAAGGAGCUGUGCUAUAAUGCAAGAUGCUUUCAUGCAGAAAACAAGUACAAGGAAAACAAGGUAAAUAGUGCAGUGAAGGAUCAGAGUAUAAAAGCUUAAGGAAGAUUAAAGAAUUCUACAGGUUUGAGACCUGAGAAAAAAAUGGAAAUGAAUUGCUCAGACUUAAUUUUAAUGCAAAUUUCCCUAAAGAGGAAAUCAAUACAAUGGGCAUGAUGGAAUGGGAUUUCCUACAUAAAAUAUCUGUCCUUGAAUCAAAAUCUGUUCAACCCCAGAUAAGUGGUCCAAAAAUAUUCAAGAUCGGAAAAACAUUUCACGGUGAAACGUUUAGUACCUCAAUUCCAAUGAGUCCCACUAUACAGUGUGCCAAAUGCAUAUAAAGCCAAAAAUAAUGACUAAUGUUUUUCAAAGGUUUACUUUCUAGGAAGAAUACUUCAAGUGUAAAAAUAAUAAACCAACAUUGUUGUCAAGAUGUGUGAAGAAAUAAGUC